Vespula pensylvanica (western yellowjacket) is the source of this 507-nucleotide long non-coding RNA. RefSeq lists it as uncharacterized. NCBI's taxonomy places the organism in Eukaryota, Metazoa, Arthropoda, Insecta, Hymenoptera, Vespidae. The transcript is spliced from 2 exons. The record is from RefSeq and is a predicted model, not a curated record.
CAAAUACAUCCAAAUACAUCAGACAUGGCAUAUAAGCUAAUCUAAUAUAAGUUGACGGUGGUAUACUGUAACAGCGACUUAACGACAAGUGUUCCAAUUUAGAAAAAUUUAAAAGAUUAGGAACUGUAUUCAUGUUUUUCGGCAUCCGGAUAUAUUCAAGCGUGUAAGGGAAGGCGGAAGUGAUUUACACAACAGAGAGACAGACUCUGCAUCCAACGAACACCAUGCCACAUUGAGAACAGUUAAGCUAUGACAAUUGUAAAUUUUUCCGAUAAUUUACAUCAUGCAUUAUAGUAUAAGUCUAAAAUAAAUACAAUUGGGGCUACUUAAAGUGCUCAAAUUGAUAAUAUUCGCCAAGAAAAGUGCUUACCUUCUAAGUUUAAUUAAAUCUGUAACACAUUCAAGAUCUAGCCCUUCGCACAUAGCUAAAUUCAACACCGUCAUGUCAAUAUUUAAACUUAUCGCAUUACAGCAUGCCAUAUUCAAAAUACAACUUUCCAAGGAUAA